AGAUGCCCAGGUGCUGAGAAAAUGCUGCGGGCACGAAGAAAACCCGGAGCCCGGCUGCUCGAAGCAACCCGCCCCCUUCGCCACCUGAGCCCAAGCACUCCGGCACCGCUUGCUCUAACCAGCUGGGGUCAGCCGCUCUCAGAUUGCACCAUUUUCUUCUCAGCCCACCCGGGUGCCGAGACCAGGGAUCCCUCGGCCUCGUGUGGAGGAUCCCGUCCCGGCCUCAGCGUCCCGCGAUCCGGCUCCCCGCACUGGGGUGAAUGGGGCGGGGGGGUAGAGGGGUGGGGGAGCCUGGGCGCCUCGGCUUCACCUCCCUACCUCCUCGAGCUGCAGAGGCUUCCGGGCCUCUCAGGCUCAGGCGACGCCCGAGAGGAGCGAGAGCCCAAGCUGCGCCCCAGGGGCUCCAGAAAUCGCAUUGCCCGGGUGUGGGCGCCCGAGAAA
RNAcentral lists this long non-coding RNA (441 nucleotides) under Mus caroli (Ryukyu mouse). RNAcentral's name for it is "predicted gene, 26833 (MGP_CAROLIEiJ_G0003846.1)". The record is from RNAcentral. Lineage: Eukaryota; Metazoa; Chordata; Mammalia; Rodentia; Muridae.